AAGGGCAGAAGAGGCGCCAUGUUGGUUGAGGGCCUUCGACGGCGAUAGGUCGGCCUUUGGGCCAAUCCCAGGCCGGGCGGUGGGCGGGGCCAGCCCUUUCCCGCUUUUUCUCCUCCCAGCUGUUUCUCAGCCGAUUCUCCUCAGCUGUUUCCCACGCCCGGGACGCCGAGGCAGUUUUGGCGCCUUUUUAUUACAAUAAAGGAUUAUUAGCAGUACUGUUUAAAUUAUUUUUAUUUUUAUUAUUGGAAAAGGCGUGGUGAAGUUUGCAAUACAUGAAAGAGGGUCUAUAUGCUGAAUUCCUGCUCUGAAAAGGAGGAGGAGGAGGAAACUUCGCGUGAGGAAGGGAGAAGAGAAGGUGGAGGAAAAGUCAGCUGCAGACGUGAAGAGAUCACCGAAAAGCAGCUUUUGGUAAUGAUGCCCACAGAACAAGGACAUCAUCCAGAACUGCCUCCCACUGUCUCUCUCAGCAGAUCGGCUGUUCUGCAUCUGGCACAACUGGACUGCCCAAGGCUGCCAUUGGGGCGCAGAGCAGGUGAGGAGCAUCAGCAUGACUGUCUAGUUUUUAAUUUGUGAUGAUUUUUUUUAUAUGUACACAAAUAUCCAAGAAGCACAACUGCCAGACACUUCUCUUGACACCAAUCUUCUUUUUUAUAUAUAUAAUGACCUUUAUUAUUUAUUUAUUUAUUUAGUUUUAGUUA
Podarcis muralis (Common wall lizard) is the source of this 698-nucleotide long non-coding RNA. RefSeq lists it as uncharacterized. The record is from RefSeq and is a predicted model, not a curated record. Lineage: Eukaryota; Metazoa; Chordata; Lepidosauria; Squamata; Lacertidae.